GCUGCGAAUAUUGAUUUAAAACUUGUUGUCUAUUGUAUUCUAUUAUAUUUUUCCCUGUUGAAGACUAACGAUAAUUUUGUUGUAUAUUAUCUUAGUCAUAAUAUUCUUUACUGGGCUAGUCGAGCUCACCCUUUUUCUUUUUGUUCCAUUUUUCUUCUCAGGAGGCGAGAAUAUAGCGAGUACGAGUCGGGGUAUGGAAUGAAAGUUCUAGGGAGAGUUGUUUAGUAGUCCUCACCAUUGUUGUAAAAUAAUGUAUCAAUAAUUAUGAUGAAGAUUUAUUUGUAUGUGGAUAUUGUCUAGAUGGCAAUAUCUGUAUUUAAACUCAC
This 326-nucleotide long non-coding RNA is filed under the name Panax ginseng (ginseng). RNAcentral's name for it is "long non-coding RNA (PGIN_LNC018507)". The record is from RNAcentral. Lineage: Eukaryota; Viridiplantae; Streptophyta; Magnoliopsida; Apiales; Araliaceae.